This 215-nucleotide unclassified non-coding RNA is filed under the name uncultured fungus. Its description in RNAcentral is "sequence contains ITS1, 5.8S rRNA gene". The record is from RNAcentral. Lineage: Eukaryota; Fungi.
AAUGAACCUACCCUCACGGGUAACUAAUACACAGCGGGCUAGUGAAAGCUAGUCCAAUGUGGUCACCAUUUGUUGAAACACCUUUUUUUUGCUUUGGUAGCACCUAAUGCCUAACCGCGGAGGGGUAAGGCUGCCGAAAGCCUAUAACAAAACCAGUUGAUGAAAUGUCAUGCUGUCUGAUACUAUUUAGUAUUUGAGAAAUCAAAUCUAUAUUA